RNAcentral lists this ribosomal RNA (467 nucleotides) under uncultured bacterium. Its description in RNAcentral is "partial 16S ribosomal RNA". It matches the Rfam family "Bacterial small subunit ribosomal RNA", at positions 28 to 507 of the family's 1533-position model. The record is from RNAcentral.
GACGAACGCUGGCGGCGUGCUUAACACAUGCAAGUCGAACGGAAAGGCCUCUUUCGGGGGGUACUCGAGUGGCGAACGGGUGAGUAACACGUGAGUAACCUGCCCUUGACUCUGGGAUAAAUUCAGGAAACUGGGGCUAAUACCGGAUAUGAGCUCCUGCUGCAUGGUGGGGGUUGGAAAGUUUCGGGGGUUGGGGGUGGGCUCGCGGCGUAUCAGCUUUUUGGUGGGGUAGUGGCUUACCAAGGCUUUUUCGGGUGUCCGGGCUGAGAGGGGGACCGGCCACAUUGGGACUGAGAUUAGGCCCAGACUCCUACGGGAGGCAACAGUUGGGGAUAUUGCACCAUUGGUGGAAGCCUGAAUCAGCAAAGCCGUGUGCGGGGUGACGGCCUUCGGGUUGGAAACCGCUUUCGCUCAUGACGAAGCUUUGUGUGACGGUAGUGGGUAAAGAAGCACCGGCUAACUACGUG